GACGCGCGGCUGUGGCGGUUACCCGCUGGGCGUCUUGGCUGUCCGCGUGCCUGUUGCUCUUGCGUCCUGAAGGCGCAGAUGGAGUCGCGGUCGUGCUGUGCGGACGGUCUGGAAGGGUCCCCAGGGUGCGAGCAGCUGGGCGAGAGCAGAGGUGACUCGGUCUCCUCCCGGAACGGCCCCGCGUUGCCGUCUGUUUGCUUUUUGAGGGCCCAGCCGCCCUGCUCUAGACGUCAGAGACUGUUGAUGGGAGGAAGGAGAGCGAAAGCGCGUGUCUGUUUCCUGGUCUAGGAGGCCCGUUUCGGGUUCCUCGCAUUGGUUGUGAUAUUAGUGGUCUGUGGGUUUUUCAUGAAAGAGCCUUGUCAGGCUGAGGUGUACAUUCCGUUCCUGAUGUGAUGAUUUGUGUUUUAGUAUCGCAGACGUCAUGGAAGUUUUUGUGAACUAGGUUUUCUGUGUCUAUCGGGAUACUUUGUGGGCUUCCCCCAUGUGUAUUCUGUUCCGGGAAUGAUUGCUUUUGUAGGGUAGCCACCCUUGCAUUUCCGGAGUAACUGUCAGCUGCGCACAGUGUGCUAAGCUUUGGUUGUGCUUCUGGAUGUCGUCUGGUAAUAUUUUGUUGAGGCAUGUGACACAUUCGUGACGGGUAUGUGUGUGCCAUUUUCCUUAUGAUGUGCUUGUGUUGGAUGUUGGGAUAAGGCUGGCCUGAUGGAAUGAAAUGGAAGGAUUUUCCUCUUCAUCUCCUUUUGGAAGGGUUUGCGAAUCACGGAUUUUAAUUAUCUUUUCCAUGGGAGUUCUCACCGGUGGAGCCAUCUGGUCCUGGACUUUUCUUCAUGUCUGUUUGGUUUGUUUGAUUUGGUUUCCCUGCUACUACAGUCUCUUUGCACAUGGCUGGCUCGUUUAGGAUGUCUAUACCACUUUACAUUCCCACCAGCAGUGGAUGAGGGUGCCUUUUCCCCCACAUCCUAAGGCUAUUGUAGUAUUGAUUUGUAUUUCCCUGACGGCUAGUGAUCCUGAUCAGUUUUGCCUGUGUGUGUUGGCCAUUUAUAUUUCCUUUACUGAAAUAUUCCUGUUGAAGUCCUUUGCCCUUUUUUUUGAGUGGGUGGUUUGUUUUGCUGUUGUUGAGUUUCUUGAAAGUUUCUGGUAGUUGAUCCUUUAUCAGUUGCAUGCUUUGCAGAUAAUUUCUCCCUUUCUGUUAGUUGCCUCUUCACAUUGCUGAGUGUUUCUUUUGCAGUGCAGAAGCUUCUCUGUUUGUUGUUGUUUUCCUCUUCUAUCCCUUUCUUUAAUCAUGUGUGAUUCUCAGAUAUUGAACAUCCUUGGUUAAAUUUAUUCCAAGCAUUUUAUUUAUUCUGUAAUUAUGUGGACAGGAUUGGUCUCAGAAGUUCUUUCUCAGCCAUGACCUUGUUUGUGUAUAAAAAGGCUAUUGAUUUUCUGUCCUGCCAUUUUACCAACCUCUAGUCUUUGUUUCAAUAGUGGAAUCUUUUGGAUCUCAUGUAUAUAGAAUCAUGUCAUCUGCAAAUAGGGAUAGUUGGACUUCCUCCCUACCAAUUUUUAUCUAACACUGAGAAAUGAGUGGGAAAGUACCAACAUGAUAACAUGCUCAUGGAAAAAGUCAGAUGCUAUCUUUCUGUAUUCUCUCUUGCUUUGUGGAAGACAUGAUUUGUCCUGUUUCAAACAUGAUCCAUACAUUAAAUGCAGGGCUAGACUGUGGAAGGUGGGUAUUGGGAAGUAGACCUGUUCAGUGGAGAACUGUGUAGAUCACAGGUGUUUCAACUCCUUGUGUGAGUGGGUACAUAAGUGUUGAAUAAAUAAAUUACAAAGAUUUCCUGGUGUGUAAGUCAGAGGUAAACCACACAGAAUGUUUUAAGGAAGAAGACAAUGAAUGGUUACCUGAAUGUUUUCUAAGACGGAGUUAAAUACUUUUUCAAAUUCUGUGUUAAUAGGGUAUUUAAUGCAUACAGUUGCAAAUUUGACAUAGCUCUAGUAGAUGGCCUUGAUGUAGUAUUUCAUUUAUAGCUAUAUCUCCCUUUUUAAAAAUUUUUACUUCUUCUCAAAUAUCUUGUUAUUUGAAAUUCAUAGUUAUACACAGAGAGGAUAAGAUGCAGAGAGAGAAAGAGAAAGAGAGAGAGAGAGAGAGAGAGAGAGAGAGAGAGACAGAUAGGUUUUCCAUCUGCUUGUCCACUCCCUAGUUGGCUGCAAUGGCCAGAGCAGAGCGAAUCCAAAGCCGGGAUCCAGGAGCCUCCCCGGGAUCUCCUGCAUGGUUGCAGGGGCCCAAGGACUUGGGCCAUCUUGUACUGCUUUCCCAGACCACAGCAGAGAUCUUCAUCAGAGUGGAGCAGCCAGGACUCGAACCAGCGCCCAUAUGGGAAGCCAACACUGCAGGCAGUGGCUUUAUCUGCUACCCCACCGUGCCAGGCCCUCCCAGAAGCCAUUCCCCGUGUGAUCCAGCUGGCUGCUAACAUGACUCAGAAAGCAGACGGAGAUGGUCCAAGGUCUUAGGCCCCUGAACCCAGAAUUGAGCACUGGAUAAAGUCCGUGGCUCCUCUUCCCAGACCUUGAGCACUGAGAGGAACUGGAAUGUUGCUGUGUGACAGAGGCCUCCUGCAAUUUCUGUGAGCUGUACUGAGUCCCCAUGACUCUGCUUCAUGUUUCUUUGGUACUACACUUUCAGAACUGUACUGGCAAAUGACUUUGGGGACAGUCUGUUCUUGCUCUGUUGCUGCUCUGAGCCUUCAAUCAAGGUCCACACAAGGCCAAUGAUAGAAAUGUUGCAUCCAGAACAGCCCCCUUAUUACUAAGAUGACCUCCAGGCCCCAUAAAUGGAUCUUGGAUCAGAGGUCAAGACUUUCUGUGCAACUUGAACAUUUCCUGCCUUGGGAAGUUCACUGCCCCCACCCCCAGGACAUGUUCUGAGCUGCUUGGUCCUAGGUGUAGAGGCUCUGGCCGCUGGGAAUGUUGUACUGAGUUGACUUCUGAGUGUCCAGAUGCCAGAAAACAUGUAACAGAGUUCCGCAGAUCUGUGCGACCACUUGGAUAUCCAACUGUGAUGGGAGGCACACAUGGUGGAUUUGUGAGUGCUACUUCAGGGUGGAGCUGAGUGCUUCCUGUGGGGAAUGUGGGAUCUUGCUGGGAUGCCAGGAUGGCACAGCAACCCAUGUUGCUCUGGUGGCUCUCGCUGAAUCUGUGUGUAGCUUAGAUGGUAAAACUGUGUCUUUUCACUAGUAUGGAGCAGACCCUCAGAAGGGUGGGGAGAUGGUCUUAUGAGAACUUAAUGCUGCCGGCGCCGCAGCUCAAUAGGCUAAUCCUCCACCUGCGGCGCCGGCACCCCAGGUUCUAGUCCCAGUCAGGGCGCCGGAUUCUGUCCCGGUUGCCCCUCUUCGAGGCCAGCUGUCUGCUAUGGCCCAGGAGUGUAGUGGAGGAUGGCUCAAGUCCUUGGGCCCUGCACCCGCAUGGGAUACCAGGAGAAGCACCUGGCUCCUGGCUUUGGAUCAGCGCAAUGUGCCGUCCACAGCGCGGCAACCAUUGGAGGGUGAACCAACGGCAAAAGGAAGACCUUUCUUUCUCUCUCUCUCUCCUCUCUCUCUCACUCUCACUCUUACUGUCCACUCUGCCUGUCAAAAAAAAAAAAAAAAGAACUUAAUGCUAGGGCUGGUGCUGUGACACAAUGGAUUAAAGAUUUGGUCUGCAGUUCUGGCAUCCCAUGUGGGUGCUAGUUCGUGUCCCAGCUGCUCCACUUCCGAUACAGCUCUCUGCUAUGUCCUGGGAAAGCAGCAGAAGAUGGCGCGAAUCCUUGGGCCCCAGCAUCCACAUGGGAGACCCAGAAGAAGAUUCUGGCUCCUGGCUUUGGAUCAGCUCAGCACUGGCCAUUGCAGUCAUUUGGGGAGUGAACCAGCUGUUGGAAGACCUCUUUCUCUCUCUCUCUGACUUUACCUCUCUAUGUAACUCUUUCAAAUAAAUAAAAUAAAUGCUUUUAAUGAAAGAAGUCAAUGAUAAUCUGUGCAUUUGUUUUAACUUGGAAAGGAAAUCUCAUUCCUCUGCUUCAAGUCAGCUUGCAAUUCAGGAACGGCAGCAUUUUUGUGCAUUUGGAGAAUCUCUAGGCUUCUUGUUUCUUCUCUACUGGCUUCUCCCUUGAAAUUAUCAUGUAGCAUCAUCCUUUGCUCUGUUAGGAUCCAUUUUUAAAACCAUGUUUUUUCUCUUCUUCAUGAGGAUACUUCAGAAAGUUUAUGGAAAAUGGAAUAAAAGAUAACUUUGUUUUGGUAUAAAAUUUUUUUGAAACUCAUGCAUUUUUUUGUAAUACAUAUUUUUCAUAUAAUGUUUGAAGAUCCCACGUGUAUCCUAACAAGUCUUUACAAAUCUUUAUUUUUUUUUUGACAGGCAGAGUGGACAGUGAGAGAGAGAGACAGAGAGAAAGGUCUUCCUUUACCGUUGGUUUACCCUCCAAUGCCGCUGAGGCCGGCGUGCUGUGGCCAGUGCACUGUGCCAAUCUGAAGCCAGGAGCCAGAUGUUUCUCUUGUUCUCCUGUGUGGGUACAGGACCCAAGGACUUGGGCCAUCCUCCAUUGUACCCCUAGGCCACAGCAGAGAGCUGGACUGGAAGAGGGGCAACCGGGACAGAAUCUGGUGCCCCAACUGGAACUAGAACCCGCAUUAUGGAGUUCUUCAUUGGAAUGUGUGCUAAGCCGUGGCACUAAGAAUAAGGAGGUGAGCAGCCAAGAACAACACUGCAGGAAGGGCCGGACUGCUGGUGUUGGGGAGUGGCAGUGGAUUCAACAGGACCCUCAGGUUUGACCAUCCUCACCUGGUGAGUCUUCUUGAAAUGUUUGUGCGUAUCAUAUGCCGGUCCUGGACACAGGCAGGGGACACAUGGGGCUUCAGAAGCCAGGGGGAAGGAAGAAAAAUUGUGUAUUAUAUUGUACGUUAUAAAUUAAAUACUAUAUUUUAUAUUAUAAAUUUUUAUUAUGUAAGUUUCAUAUCAUAUGUUCUAAAUAGAUUUUAAAUUGUGUUUUGUAAAACGUACAUGUGCUCGGAGGUAUCAUGUACAGUUCCAGGAGGUGUGAGCCUACCUGGCUGAAUUCUGAUGCCAGGAUGGGCGAACCAGCAGGUGAGUCAUCUUUUGGGUGGGCAAUUAAGAUGCCCAGUGACUGUGUUAAUUUCCAGGUCUCUUGUUUUAUUUUCUGGGUUUAUAGUUCUACUUAGUGUAUAGGAGCUGAGAAAAUGGAUCUGGUCAUCCAGAAAGGAAGUUCCUGCUCGCAGGAUUUGCUUCCUGUUUUUCCUAAUUUGCUAAGAUAAUUUAUCUCAAUUUGCAUUGAAGGUUCUGCCACACAGCAGUGAUAGCAUUGAGUGGUAAACCCAAAAAGAUGGUUGUAUAUUGUUAUUGUUGCCCCACUGAAAUCUGAUUCUGCCUCUGUGCUAUCCAGUGUUUCCCUAAUUUUUUGAAAAAGUUCCUGAGGAUUACAUUGUUAUAUUGUGUUAAUGAAUGUGGUUAUGUGGGGAGACAUAUCAUGUAAAAUUUACAUGUCCCAGUCAUAUUAUUGCAUUGACUAGGAGUAUGGGGACUCUGUUUAUCAUCAGAAGCACCUAGAUCAGAGGAUGGCACCAAAAUUUUUAGAAGUCAGCAUUACUUCCUAAGUAUAUUUGUUGCAGUUAUAAAACUAUAAGGUUCUGAAUAACUCAGUACAGGUUCUUUUACUUCUAAAUUAGAUUUUGAAAUAUGAAGUAUUGAAAUCAUUUGGAUUAUGAUAUGUCGCUCCCCAUCUUCGUGGAGGAACGACACAGGACCCUGCGUUGUUCUUUCGUCUGCUCAGCCCUCCCUGGGUUUGCUGCUGGUUCUUCCCGGGUUGGCUACCGUCCCUUCCACCUCCAUGGAAGGGCGGUUCCCCCUGCCACUUUCCCCACUUCCGCGGGGGAGUGGCACACCGCCGGCCGGCUCUCUCGGGGGCUGCACAGGUGUUCCUUCAGAUAGAUGUUCCUCUUAGAUGUUCCUGGUGCAUGCCGUCUCUCUCCUCCUUUAUAGUCCUCUUCCACCAAUCCCAACUCCGCUACCCACACGCUGAGUACGCUGCUCUCCUCCAAUCAGGAGCAGGUCCUACAGUUUAUUGGUUGAACUGGAGGCAGCUAUGUAGAAGCUGUUUCCUCCUCUCCCAGCGCCAUAUUGUGGGAGAGCAGAUGCAUAGAAUAAGUCUUAAUUCCAGUAACAGUCUAGUCUGAGUUGCUCCCCACAAUGAUAUGUUUAGAGAAUUUUUAGGUCUGAGAAGGCAGGGGCAUUGUUUCAGUACAGUAUCCACAAUGGUUGCCACGUAAUUGGUUCUAAAAUUUCAGUUGAUGAAAUGAAAUCCCUAUUUGUCCCUGUGUUUUAAACAACACAAAAUUUAAAAAUCCAUAGGUAUUGUGUUUUGUGGUUUGGUUCUUACAGUAUGUGGUGAAUUAUGUCUCCCUUCCUUCUGGUUAGCAGUUACUAGUGUUGGCACCCAAGGGUCAUUCCUUGAACCUCAUCUUAUGAGAUGCUGACCAGUGACUACUCAGAAACCACCCCUUGGUGCAAGUCCUCAUGGAUGUUCCAGUUUCCUCAUUAUCCACUCUUGGUGUUCCUUUUAGUCCUGAUUGUUCAAAUCUAGAAGUUGAAAUGACUCCAUAUUAAGUCUAACUGUUGUUCACACUGUUCUCAUCCUAGAUAGCCUUAUCUCUAUACCGUGUUUCAGGAAGGCCUUGGCUUUUUCUCCCAUCAUUAGCUAGACCUGUUUAUAUUGCCUAUGGUUUUCUCCUUUUGGCUAUUUUCAAACUUGAUUCCUUGAUUCCAUAAUUCCUUUCCCUCACACACAACACACCAAGAAAAAUCUGUUCUUUUGUUUUCUCAUGCUCCCAAUCCACAGAUGUUCUCUGAUAACAAUCACCAGGCAUCUCAAAGGCUGGCUGGUCCCUACACCCUUCUCAAAGCCACAGGAAUGUGUGAUUCUUUUGCUUUUUGCUUUUAUGUCUCAAUUCCGUCACCUUUUCCACACCUCUGCUCCUGUGACCACCAUUAAACUUUAGCAUCUCCCACAAAAAUCCUAGGCUAGCAAUUUCUAGUGUACUACUAAGAAGUUGUUAAAAUAUAGAAGCUUUCUGGGGAAAUUCCAAAAUUAGAGUGGUUUAUGCCAAACAUCUUAAGAUGCUUUUCCUCUGUUUAACGAAAGUCACAUAUGUGGGGGAAAACUAGAUGGAGAGUUUGCUACAAACAAUGCCUUUGUUUCACCUUUAUACAAUUUUGUUUGUGAGUUAUGUAGGCCUCAGUGAUUAUGAAUGGGAAAACUAAAACUGACUUGCAGUUCAACAUUGGAAAUAUUUUGAAGCUUUCUACUGAAGUGCUGUAGUGUGAGAACAGGCAUGGAGUCCAGGAGAUCCUUCAAUGGAUUGGUAUAUGUGUAGUUUUCAGAAUGCUGCUUUCAAAGACAUUUAAACUUUGUAAGCAUUAUCUUACAUAUGAUGUUAAAUUUCAAAUUGCUGCUUCAGCAAACAUUGAGCUUUAUGUGAUUGGUAACCUCUCCUACACUAAUGAAUCUCCUUGCUUGAUUUCCUCCCUGAUUACUGUGGAAGAUUGUCGCGUCCCUCAACCAGCAAAGAAGACACAACCCGAACUCUUCUUCAAGCAGUUUAUUCAGGAACCUUGAACAAGCUUCUUCUUCCGCCUCCUUCCCUCUCCCAUCCCUCUUAUAGCCAUCAGCACACCAAUCAAAAGCAGCCAAGUGGCAAGGAUUGAUAGGUACAGCAAUGUGGAAGCCAGAAGGGAGCUCAACCAUCUUAUUAGGAGUUGUUUGUUUCUCGCCAGUCCUUCCAGGAGAAAGGAGCCGGCGCCAUCUUUAGGGCACAGUGCAAUGGCUCCCCACAGUUCCCCCUUUUUGUUUUAGAACCAGGCAUCUAAGGAUUACAGGAGAAGGUAGGGGUUUGUCCCCCACUGCCAGGCAUCCACCUGGAACAGCAUCCUUUUCGCGGGGGUGGGAUCUGGGAUGCCAACCCACAUGCAGACAGACUUGCCUUCCAGAGAACGUAAUGGCUCGUUCUCUCUGCAGUGCUUUGCCUCGCACCCUGCACCCAUGCCUAGCAUUCAAGGAAGGCCAGCCAUGCUUGAGGCGAUUGUCCAGCCUCAAGGGCAUAAAAGGCUUGAGCUAUCAUGGCCAAUUCCCGCCGAUGAGCUGUCCUCAUCCUGCACAAACACCACAGGCAAAAUAACACAACAAGUAACAGCAACCCCGUCAAAGCUCCAAGUCCCGCCCACUCCUUCAGGUUGGAGAUGGCUGUGCGGAUCCAGGAUGACAAUCCAGAUGGGAAGGAGACAUCCACACGUGUGGAGUUGAUGGUGACCACAGCAAGGCGCAGUUGCUUCAAGGUGUAGUCAAAUUCUGCGGACCAAUUCUGCAAGAGCAUCUGAGACAACUGUUUAGAGUAAUUUGCUUCCUGAGUCAUGUUAUCGUACUGAACAGAGGUCACACACAACCCUGAAAAUUUCCACUCACAUCCUAGCUGAGCAAGCUGCCAGAGUAUCCACCUGCUCCUGUACCAAAUCCACACGCUGAUUAACAAUCAUCAAGCCUCCCUUUAUUUGUGCAUUUAAGGAUGUCUGAGUAUCCAAAGCAGCAGCCACAGAGGCCGUUAAAUUAUUCAGGGUAUUAGCAGUUUGAAUUGUCCCUGUGAGCGCUAUAGCAGCUGUUAUAGCGCCCACAGCUGCAAUGGAAAUGGCAGUUAUAAUGGCUGCAGUAAUGAUCCCAAUCAGCAAUGUUAUCAUAAUGAAGAUUGAGGGGCUGCUUUGUGACAUUGUCUGUUUGCCGCACCAGUCGCUCAGGUAACCAUCGAGAAUAUAGAAACAUGUCCACGUCCCCAUAUUAAAACAGGGUCAGGUCCAUACCAUUGAGCAGUUAGAGGGUCUUUCCACUUCACAUAGACUUGUUGUCUUUUGGUUUCAGGAUGCCAGUGACGAUCAGCUGCAGUUUUCCCUUGAUUAUCCAGUAUUAGAGAAUUUAAAAUGAAAAGAGCAUGUGAUAGCCAUUUUUGUGGGGAAUAUGCCAUGGUCCCGUAUUCCCCCUUUUUUAUUUUUUGUAAAUAAUUUUUUAAUGUGGCAUGUGCUCGUUCCACAAUACCUUGUCCCUGGGGAUUAUAAGGAAUCCUGGUGAUGAGAGAUGUGGAAGUUAGUACAGAAGUGCUUAAAAGAGUUGGAAGUAUAUGCUGGGCCAUUAUUAGUUUUUAUCUGUAUAGGGGUUCCUAGAACAGCAAAGGCCUGAAGGCAAUGAGAGAUGUUUGGCAGCCUCGCCGCAUUGCGGGGUGGCAAAAACAAAACCUGAACAUGUAUCUAAAGAAACAUGUAUGUAUUUUAGUUUACCAAAUUCAGAAAAAUGGGUAACAUCCAUCUGCCAAAGCUGAUUAGGCAUAAAACCUCUAGGAUUUACACCAUAAUAAGGGACCGGGAGAAAUGUGACACAGGAAGGGCAGGAUUUUACAAUUUGCCUUGCCUGUUCCGGGUGAUUCAGUAUCUUACUGGUAAGGUUUGGACAUUGAGGUGAUGCAAAUCAUGACCAUGGGAUGCUUCUUAGACUUUGUCAGUCCCUCUUUAAAGGAUCUGGCUUCUGAGCCAGAGACUGGAGCAGCUAGAAAGAAACUCGUUUAUAACUGAAGUUUAGCAUCAUUUCACAUCUUGGCACCACUUUUAAUCUAAACAGCCCGAUUGGUUAUUAUCUCUGCAAGAUGAGAGAUAUAUCUUUUGACAUCUCCAGGGGCCCUCUGGAGAUACCAAAAGUCCAGAGAAUUUAGAACUUUGCUUUUCAGAAAGUCUGUUAAAGGUGCCAAGAGAACUUAGAGUAUCUGGUCAAAAUAGAAUUCCUUAGCAUUUAGUCAGGGCGAUUUUAACACUUUUAGACCAGAUCUGAUCAUAAUAAUAUUCAGCAUAACUUUUUAAGACUUAAUACUUUUUAUCAAUCAUAACUUAAUAGACAGUAGUGUUAAAAAGAGACGUUACAGUUUUUGCAACAACAGAUUUUAAGAUUUACAAUUGAGACCAUUUCCAGAUAAUUACUAACAUUAGUACACAUUUUUUUUUUAACUUUUAUUUAAUGAAUAUACGUUUCCAAAGUACGAAUAAUGGAUUACUAUGGCUUCCCCCCCAUACCGUCCCUCCCACCCACAACCCUCCCCUUUCCCACUCCCUCUCCCCUUCCAUUCACAUCAAGAUUCAUUUUCGAUUAUCUUAAUAUACAGAAGAUCAGCUUAGUAUACAUUAAGUAAGGAUUUCAACAGUUUGCUCCCACACAGAAACAUAAAGUGAAAAAUAAUAGAUGAUUUUUUUUAAUGAUGAUGAAAUCAGAUCAGACCUAUUGUCAUGUUUAAUCCCAGUGAGAGUCAAGUUGGGUGUUGAUAGUUUCUUUUUUUUUUUUUUUUUUACAGAGGAUCAGUUUAGUAUGCAUUAAGUAAAGAUUUCAACAGUUUGCACCCCCAUAGAAACACAAAGUGAAAUAUAUUAUUUGAGUACUCGUUAUAGCAUUAAAUCUCAAUGCACAGCACAUUAAGGACAGAGAUCCUACAUGAGGAGUAAGUGCACAGUGACUCCUGUUGUUGACUUUACCAAUUGACACUCCUGUCUAUGGCAUCAGUAAUCUCCCUAUGCUCCAGUCAUGAGUUUCCAAGGCUAUGGAAGCCCCUUGAGUUCUCUGACUCUUAUCUUGUUUAGACAAGGUCAUAGUCAAAGUGGAGGUUCUCUCCUCCCUUCAGAGAAAGGUACCUCCUUCUUUGAAGACCUGUUCUUUCCACUGGGAUCUCACUCACAGAGAUCUUUUGCCAGAGUGUCUUGGCUUUCCAUGCCUGAAAUACUCUCAUGGGCUUUUCAGCCAGAUCUGAAUGCCUUUAGGGCUGAUUCUGAGGCCAGAGUGCUAUUUAGGGCAUCUGCCAUUCUAUGAGUCUGCUGAGUAUCUCACUUCCCAUGUUGGAUCACUCUCCCCUUUAUUUAUUCUAUCGGUUAGUGUUAGCAGGUACUAGACU
Non-coding RNA from Oryctolagus cuniculus (rabbit), 10988 nucleotides. Lineage: Eukaryota; Metazoa; Chordata; Mammalia; Lagomorpha; Leporidae. The record is from RefSeq and is a predicted model, not a curated record.